This 433-nucleotide ribosomal RNA is filed under the name uncultured bacterium. Its description in RNAcentral is "partial 16S ribosomal RNA". It matches the Rfam family "Bacterial small subunit ribosomal RNA", at positions 29 to 507 of the family's 1533-position model. The record is from RNAcentral.
AACGAACGCUGGCGGCAUGCCUAACACAUGCAAGUCGAACGAGACCUUCGGGUCUAGUGGCGCACGGGUGCGUAACGCGUGGGAACCUGCCCUUAGGUUCGGAAUAACUCCCCGAAAGGGGUGCUAAUACCGGAUAAUGUCUUCGGACCAAAGAUUUAUCGCCUUUGGAUGGGCCCGCGUUGGAUUAGCUAGUUGGUAGGGUAAAAGCCUACCAAGGCGACGAUCCAUAGCUGGUCUGAGAGGAUGAUCAGCCACACUGGGACUGAGACACGGCCCAGACUCCUACGGGAGGGAGCAGUGGGGAAUAUUGGAAAAAGGGCCGAAGGCUGAUCCAGCAAUGCCGCGUGAGUGAUGAAGGCCUUAGGGUUGGAAAGCCCUUUUACCCGGGAUGAUAAUGACAGUACCGGGAGAAUAAGCUCCGGCUAACUCCGUG